This 505-nucleotide ribosomal RNA is filed under the name uncultured bacterium. RNAcentral describes it as "partial 16S ribosomal RNA". It matches the Rfam family "Bacterial small subunit ribosomal RNA", at positions 28 to 507 of the family's 1533-position model. The record is from RNAcentral.
GACGAACGCUGGCGGCGUGCCUAAUACAUGCAAGUAGAACGCACAGUUUAUACCGUAGCUUGCUACACCAUAGACUGUGAGUUGUGAACGGGUGAGUAACGCGUAGGUAACCUGCCUGGUAGCGGGGGAUAACUAUUGGAAACGAUAGCUAAUACCGCAUAAUAUUAAUUAUUGCAUGAUAAUUAAUUGAAAGGUGCAAUUGCACCACUACCAGAUGGACCUGCGUUGUAUUAGCUAGUAGGGGAGGUAACGGCUCACCCAGGCGACGAUACAUAGCCGACCUGGUAGGGUGAUCGGCCACACUGGGACUGCGACACGGCCCAGACUCCUGCGGGAGGCAGCAGUAGGGAAUCUUCGGCAAUGGACGAAAGUCUGACCGAGCAACGCCGCGUGAGUGAAGAAGGUUUUCGGAUCGUGAAGCUCUGUUGUAAGAGAAGAACGGGUGUGGGAGUGGAAAGUUCACACUGUGACGGUAUCUUACCAGAAAGGGACGGCUAACUACGUG